RNAcentral lists this ribosomal RNA (398 nucleotides) under Sordariomycetes sp. RNAcentral describes it as "partial small subunit ribosomal RNA". Lineage: Eukaryota; Fungi; Ascomycota; Sordariomycetes. The record is from RNAcentral.
UAAAUAGCCCGUAUUGCUUUGGCAGUACGCCGGCUUCUUAGAGGGACUAUCGGCUCAAGCCGAUGGAAGUUUGAGGCAAUAACAGGUUAACCGUCACAGGCCUGUAAUAGUAGAGCCUUAUAAUCUGCUAGUUGCUGUCUUUACCUCUCUGAGGGGAGCCCCUCGAUAUCGGGGAGAGGAGCUGGGCUGCGGCCCGGCUAUGACAGCAGCGACACUACCUGGUACAGGGGACGCCUCGCUUUCAGCAGGCCAACCCUGUGGCGAGUCCGAGUAGCGUCGGACCGUCGCAACGCGCGGAAAGGAGUGGGCUGCAUUAUUGCGGCUUAAGGUACGUGCUAAACCCUUGGGAAACCAAGCUCGCAGGAUUAGACCCGAUAUGUCGAAGUCUGCGAGGGCCG